AAUGUUUGAUGAGACACAGCUAUUGUUAUGAUCACACCUGAUUUCCACUUCAAACUGCAAAAGUCAAUGUUCUGUGCACAACUCAAAAAGAGUUUAUUUUAAAAAAGCAAAUAUUGUUCCAUUGAAGGAUCAUAAAGGGAUUUCCUCCUUAAAGGCAACACCGGGAAGGGGUAUCAGGCCUGAACGUCAGACAGUGAGGAGCUCGUGUCGUAUGAACCACAGACAGCGAGAGGCUGGACAGACCAACAUGGGCACUGAUAGAAAAUGACUUGGCAGUCACCCAAGUGGAUCAUUACCUUCUGCCCUACAAAUGCGAUGUAGCAGAGAAGCGGAUAGCAGCUCCGGACUUCAAGGUGUUCUCCCCUGAUGUUCACUGGAACACAUCGACAAGCUUGUUCUCCGCCUCCAUCAGGGCGGAUUGUGGCAUAAUGCGAUUAAACGCACUGCCCACUUUGUAACUGUCUGCUGAGUGCUUCAGGGCGGCAGAGAAAUGUUUGCUCUGAUCGUCAGCGUGAGUUUGAUUUACAGGCACUGCAGAGCAAACAACACGAGUGGACAUCAUCUUCUGUCUGUGUGGGUGUCAAAAUGAGAGCAGGUAGUACAUUAAAGUUCAUGACUCAAGCAUGGGCCAUCAGUCAAGCUACAUUUUAAUGAUUAUGUCAUAAGAAAAAUAAAUAAGAGUGAGUGAACAAAAUAUGAGAAGUUAAGAAACAAGUGUUAGUAAAACUGGAUGGUUCUUAUGCUAUUUUUUUUUUUUUUCACGUCUCCAUUUUGUUUUUGGCCAUCAACCUAAAUGCCUUCACGAGAGACCAUAGCAGACGGGACUUUUCUGGUCCUUGUUGCAGGUUUUCUCCCCAUGGACAAAAUGGAAGCCACAAUUCUCACACCUGUGUUUGCCCACAUUACCUUGAGUUGACACUGUAGGUUGGCUUGCUAUGCCAGCCAGCCGCCUGGUGGACAGCAGAGCUUGCUUGCUCAAUAUAGAGGGGCUCGCUAACAUGCUACAGUGGAGCGUGCUAGCAUGCUAUAGUGGAGCUAGCUAGCUUGAUACAGAGGAAUUCGCUAGCAUGCUACAGUGGAGCUCACUAGCA
Molecule: long non-coding RNA, 1091 nt
Organism: Oryzias melastigma (Indian medaka)
Lineage: Eukaryota; Metazoa; Chordata; Actinopteri; Beloniformes; Adrianichthyidae
Exons: 3
Source: RefSeq, a predicted model, not a curated record